Molecule: ribosomal RNA, 373 nt
Filed under: uncultured organism
Description: partial 16S ribosomal RNA
Rfam family: Bacterial small subunit ribosomal RNA
Source: RNAcentral
GUAGGUGGCAAGCGUUGUCCGGAAUUAUUGGGGCGUAAAGCGCGCGCAGGCGGUUCUUUAAGUCUGAUGUGAAAGCCCACGGGCUCAACCGUGGAGGGUCAUUGGAAACUGGAGAACUUGAGUACAGAAGAGGAAAGCGGAAUUCCACGUGUAGCGGUGAAAUGCGUAGAGAUGUGGAGGAACACCAGUGGCGAAGGCGGCUUUCUGGUCUGUAACUGACGCUGAGGCGCGAAAGCGUGGGGAGCAAACAGGAUUAGAUGCCCUGGUAGUCCACGCCGUAAACGAUGAGUGCUAAGUGUUAGGGGGUUUCCGCCCCUUAGUGCUGCAGCUAACGCAUUAAGCACUCCGCCUGGGGAGUACGGCCGCAAGGCUG